AUGUAUUUGACAGACUUGGAGCAGUUACUGUCUGCUGCUAAAGUUCCAGUGCAGAUGCAAGAAAAAAGAAUCCUCGUGCUUUCUUCCUAUCUGACUGUGACAGCCAAGAUUGAAUGGGGGAAUACAGUG
Small nucleolar RNA from Pteropus vampyrus (large flying fox), 129 nucleotides. NCBI's taxonomy places the organism in Eukaryota, Metazoa, Chordata, Mammalia, Chiroptera, Pteropodidae. The record is from Ensembl.